This 208-nucleotide ribosomal RNA is filed under the name uncultured bacterium. Its description in RNAcentral is "partial 16S ribosomal RNA". It matches the Rfam family "Bacterial small subunit ribosomal RNA", at positions 568 to 774 of the family's 1533-position model. The record is from RNAcentral.
CACGCAGGCGGUUUUUUUAAGUCAGAUGUGAAAGGUACCGGCUCAACCGGUGACAUGCAUUUGAAACUGAAAGACUUGAGUAUUGGAGAGGCAAGUGGAAUUCCUAGUGUAGCGGUGAAAUGCGUAGAGAUUAGGAGGAACACCAGUGGCGAAGGCGGCUUGCUGGACAAAUACUGACGCUGAGGUGCGAAAGCGUGGGGAGCAAACA